GAAAUGCGAUAAGUAAUGUGAAUUGCAGAAUUCAGUGAAUCAUCGAAUCUUUGAACGCACAUUGCGCCCGCCAGCACUCUGGCGGGCAUGCCUGUUCGAGCGUCAUUUCAACCCUCAGAACCCCUUGCGGGAUCUGGCGUUGGGGAUUGGCAUCCAGCCAGCCCCGAAAUCUAGUGGCGGUCCCUCCGCGACCUCCCCUGUGCAGUAGCGAUACCUCGCAGCGGGACAGCGGUCUGACCACGCCGUAAAACCCCCAACUUCUCAAGGUUGACCUCGACUCAGGUAGGAAUACCUGCUGAACUUAGGC
RNAcentral lists this unclassified non-coding RNA (307 nucleotides) under plant metagenome. RNAcentral describes it as "partial contains 5.8S ribosomal RNA, internal transcribed spacer 2, and large subunit ribosomal RNA". The stretch from base 1 to 105 matches the Rfam family "5.8S ribosomal RNA", at positions 50 to 154 of the family's 154-position model. The record is from RNAcentral.